AAACCUAUAUAGGCUUCGGGGCCCGAGAUUAGUGGCCAAUUGAAGGGCUGCUCUGAACCUAGCUACGUCACUGGGAUUUUUAAAAAUGUAGAAUAGUCGUAGCUGGACGGUUAUGAUCAUCAAAGUCUGCAGUAAGUGUUGAAUUGAGACUAAACAAAUGAAUGUGUAUAUGUGUGUGUGUGACAGAGAGAAAGAGAGAAUUUUGAGAGAAAAUGUUUGAAGGGAACAGAAUGAAGAUGAAUUCGAUCAAACAUGAGCUGCGCCUAAGCGACCACUCACUGACAACCCAAACCUAUCACCGUCAUAAGAACAACAGAUGACAGUUUUUUUUUUAAAUAUUAAUAUUAAACGUUAGCCAGUCUAGCAUCACCAUAUCACGUUUAACACGCUCCAGUUCCACAAUAUGUCAGUGGAGCCAGUCAUUAUUUCAUAGCACUUAUCAACCGACCAUGCAGCCAUCUCCUUUCUCGGCUUGAACCCCUUCUCUUCCAAACCCAGCCAGCCAUUACGAAAUCACCGCCACCGCUAAUUACCGCUCUCUCAAUCACUGACCUCUCUUACUGACCCACACCUUUUCCACGCCCACCAGCACUCCGCAACCAACAAUACCACUCGGACUCUCCCACCACCACCACCACCACCACUAUCCACGCUCUCCCACCACUUUUCAACCACUAUAACUACAAUCAACAUCACUACCUCAUCGACAAUUCUAAACUGGGAUGGUUAUGAGACGGCCACACUCACUCAUACGCACAUCUAACCUACGGGACCAAACACUACACUCUGGUUUAAACAGAGAAAGAGAGAAAAUAUAAGCCAGCCAGAGAGAGAGAAAGGAAAUUUAGUGGUAGAAAAAAAACUGUAAACGAAAGAGAAAGAAAGAGAGUAACGCCGUCGAGGCCAGCCAGACAGAUGUUGAUCUUUGUCAAGAGAUUCGGACGGUGUUUCGGUUUCACCUAAGUUGGACUCAACAACAAGUGAAAAAAAGCUGCACAUCUAUAUAAAAUACAAGUUUGCACCACACAGGUAGGCAUGUGUGCAUACUGUAAUUAAUACUGAUUAAAACGCUUAAGAAAUCAGACUAUAUAUAUAUAUAUAUAUAUAUAUAUAUAUAUAUGAGUGUGUGUUUAUUUAUAGAAAUAGAGAGGGCGAACUAAUCUAAUCGGAUAUUAAGGAAAGAUUGAUACCCAAUUGUCGACACUGAAGUUUGAAAUUUAAGAAAAAGUAUUGCCAACUCUCUCGUGAUGAUGAAAAAAACAAUGACUUUUGCCAGAGAAUUUUAAACACUAAACUUUCCAUUCCACUGUGAGAAUCCUGCCAGUUGCUUGGCAUAAAUCAGCAACAUUAAGAGUAUGGCUGGCUGACUGUAUGAUGACAGGCACCACAACAUAACAUUCUCAUUUGCUUCCAACAAUCGAUCAGAAUAAUUUGAGGAAAAAAAAAGUUAUUAUUAACAGCUUAACCAAUCUAAUUGAUGAGGUAAAUGAAGGAGGAAGCAAGAAACUAAAUCAAUAAAUGUGAUUAGAAAAACAAAGAAAAAAAUAAAGAAAAUU
Molecule: long non-coding RNA, 1556 nt
Filed under: Octopus sinensis (East Asian common octopus)
Lineage: Eukaryota; Metazoa; Mollusca; Cephalopoda; Octopoda; Octopodidae
Description: uncharacterized LOC118762652
Source: RNAcentral